RNAcentral lists this ribosomal RNA (490 nucleotides) under uncultured bacterium. RNAcentral's name for it is "bacterial SSU rRNA". It matches the Rfam family "Bacterial small subunit ribosomal RNA", at positions 32 to 526 of the family's 1533-position model. The record is from RNAcentral.
AAUCAACGCUGGCGGCAUGCCUAACACAUGCAAGUCGAGCGAGAAAGUGUAGCAAUACAUGAGUACAGCGGCGCACGGGUGAGUAACACGUGGAUAACCUGCCUCAAAGUGGGGAAUAACACCGGGAAACCGGUGCUAAUACCGCAUACUCUGACGAGGUCUGUGGAUUUCGUCAGGAAAGGAGCAAUUCGCUAUGAGAGGGGUCCGCGGCUGAUUAGCUAGUUGGUGAGGUAAUGGCUCACCAAGGCCACGAUCAGUAGCCGGUCUGAGAGGACGGUCGGCCACACUGGAACUGAGACACGGUCCAGACUCCUACGGGAGGCAGCAGUGGGGAAUUUUUCGCAAUGGGGGCAACCCUGACGAAGCAAUGCCGCGUGGAUGAUGAAGUCUCUUGGGACGUAAAAUCCUUUCGACGGGGACGAAACCGCAAGGUUGACGGUACCCGUAGAAGAAGCCCCGGCUAACUCCGUGCCAGCCGCCGCAGUAAAAC